This 152-nucleotide small nucleolar RNA is filed under the name Ursus americanus (American black bear). Its description in RNAcentral is "Small nucleolar RNA SNORA72 (ENSUAMG00000019769.1)". The stretch from base 21 to 152 matches the Rfam family "Small nucleolar RNA SNORA72". From Rfam's summary of the family: U72 is a member of the H/ACA class of snoRNAs. The snoRNA gene is located in intron 4 of the ribosomal L30 protein gene in human, mouse and chicken. Lineage: Eukaryota; Metazoa; Chordata; Mammalia; Carnivora; Ursidae. The record is from RNAcentral. RNAcentral also lists the same sequence under 1 other name.
CAGCGUCUACCACCUAGUUAGUGCUUACAAAGUAGGUGCUCAAUAAUUGUAAUGCUCUUCCCAGGUUGAACAUUCGCUAUAUUAAGACCAUGCACGUGUCCCCAGACCUAGUUCUUUUUCUUCGUCUGGUUUUAUAAAUGCUGGUGAUGAAC